RNAcentral lists this transfer RNA (85 nucleotides) under Felis catus (domestic cat). It matches the Rfam family "tRNA". From Rfam's summary of the family: Transfer RNA (tRNA) molecules are approximately 80 nucleotides in length. Their secondary structure includes four short double-helical elements and three loops (D, anti-codon, and T loops). The record is from Rfam by way of RNAcentral. Lineage: Eukaryota; Metazoa; Chordata; Mammalia; Carnivora; Felidae.
GCCUGGGUGGCUCAGUCGGUUAAGCAUCUGACUUCGACUCAGGUCAUGAUCUCACAGUCUGUGAGUUCGAGCCCCACAUCGGGCU